RNAcentral lists this ribosomal RNA (253 nucleotides) under uncultured bacterium. RNAcentral describes it as "partial 16S ribosomal RNA". It matches the Rfam family "Bacterial small subunit ribosomal RNA", at positions 524 to 776 of the family's 1533-position model. The record is from RNAcentral.
UACGGGGGGGGCAAGCGUUGUUCGGAAUUACUGGGCGUAAAGGGCUCGUAGGCGGCCAACUAAGUCAGACGUGAAAUCCCACGGCUCAACCGUGGAACUGCUGGGUAUACUGGGCGUCUUGGGCCAACUAGGGGCAACUGGAACAAGCGGUGGAGCGGUGAAAUGCGUAGAUAUCGCUUGGAACGCCAACGGUGAAAACAGGUUGCUGGGGUUGUGCCGACGCUGAGACACGAAAGCCAGGGGAGCGAACGGG